This 1520-nucleotide ribosomal RNA is filed under the name Enterobacter cloacae. RNAcentral describes it as "bacterial SSU rRNA". It matches the Rfam family "Bacterial small subunit ribosomal RNA". The record is from RNAcentral. Lineage: Bacteria; Pseudomonadati; Pseudomonadota; Gammaproteobacteria; Enterobacterales; Enterobacteriaceae. RNAcentral also lists the same sequence under 4 other names.
AGAGUUUGAUCAUGGCUCAGAUUGAACGCUGGCGGCAGGCCUAACACAUGCAAGUCGAACGGUAGCACAGAGAGCUUGCUCUCGGGUGACGAGUGGCGGACGGGUGAGUAAUGUCUGGGAAACUGCCUGAUGGAGGGGGAUAACUACUGGAAACGGUAGCUAAUACCGCAUAACGUCGCAAGACCAAAGAGGGGGACCUUCGGGCCUCUUGCCAUCAGAUGUGCCCAGAUGGGAUUAGCUAGUAGGUGGGGUAACGGCUCACCUAGGCGACGAUCCCUAGCUGGUCUGAGAGGAUGACCAGCCACACUGGAACUGAGACACGGUCCAGACUCCUACGGGAGGCAGCAGUGGGGAAUAUUGCACAAUGGGCGCAAGCCUGAUGCAGCCAUGCCGCGUGUAUGAAGAAGGCCUUCGGGUUGUAAAGUACUUUCAGCGGGGAGGAAGGUGUUGUGGUUAAUAACCACAGCAAUUGACGUUACCCGCAGAAGAAGCACCGGCUAACUCCGUGCCAGCAGCCGCGGUAAUACGGAGGGUGCAAGCGUUAAUCGGAAUUACUGGGCGUAAAGCGCACGCAGGCGGUCUGUCAAGUCGGAUGUGAAAUCCCCGGGCUCAACCUGGGAACUGCAUUCGAAACUGGCAGGCUAGAGUCUUGUAGAGGGGGGUAGAAUUCCAGGUGUAGCGGUGAAAUGCGUAGAGAUCUGGAGGAAUACCGGUGGCGAAGGCGGCCCCCUGGACAAAGACUGACGCUCAGGUGCGAAAGCGUGGGGAGCAAACAGGAUUAGAUACCCUGGUAGUCCACGCCGUAAACGAUGUCGAUUUGGAGGUUGUGCCCUUGAGGCGUGGCUUCCGGAGCUAACGCGUUAAAUCGACCGCCUGGGGAGUACGGCCGCAAGGUUAAAACUCAAAUGAAUUGACGGGGGCCCGCACAAGCGGUGGAGCAUGUGGUUUAAUUCGAUGCAACGCGAAGAACCUUACCUGGUCUUGACAUCCACAGAACUUUCCAGAGAUGGAUUGGUGCCUUCGGGAACUGUGAGACAGGUGCUGCAUGGCUGUCGUCAGCUCGUGUUGUGAAAUGUUGGGUUAAGUCCCGCAACGAGCGCAACCCUUAUCCUUUGUUGCCAGCGGUUAGGCCGGGAACUCAAAGGAGACUGCCAGUGAUAAACUGGAGGAAGGUGGGGAUGACGUCAAGUCAUCAUGGCCCUUACGACCAGGGCUACACACGUGCUACAAUGGCGCAUACAAAGAGAAGCGACCUCGCGAGAGCAAGCGGACCUCAUAAAGUGCGUCGUAGUCCGGAUUGGAGUCUGCAACUCGACUCCAUGAAGUCGGAAUCGCUAGUAAUCGUAGAUCAGAAUGCUACGGUGAAUACGUUCCCGGGCCUUGUACACACCGCCCGUCACACCAUGGGAGUGGGUUGCAAAAGAAGUAGGUAGCUUAACCUUCGGGAGGGCGCUUACCACUUUGUGAUUCAUGACUGGGGUGAAGUCGUAACAAGGUAACCGUAGGGGAACCUGCGGUUG